RNAcentral lists this RNase P RNA (385 nucleotides) under Steroidobacter gossypii. RNAcentral's name for it is "RNase P RNA component class A". It matches the Rfam family "Bacterial RNase P class A". From Rfam's summary of the family: Ribonuclease P (RNase P) is a ubiquitous endoribonuclease, found in archaea, bacteria and eukarya as well as chloroplasts and mitochondria. Its best characterised activity is the generation of mature 5'-ends of tRNAs by cleaving the 5'-leader elements of precursor-tRNAs. Cellular RNase Ps are ribonucleoproteins. The record is from RNAcentral. Lineage: Bacteria; Pseudomonadati; Pseudomonadota; Gammaproteobacteria; Steroidobacterales; Steroidobacteraceae.
GGAGUCGGCCAGGCAACCGCUGCUCUUGCUUGCAAGGGUGGAGGAAAGUCCGGGCUCCUAGGGCAAGGCGCCAGGUAACACCUGGGGGACGUGAGUCCACGGAAAGUGCAACAGAAAGCAAACCGCCUAAGCGCGCGGCUUCGGCUGCGCGCCGGUAAGGGUGAAAGGGUGCGGUAAGAGCGCACCGCGCCGGUGGUAACACUCGGUGGCACGGUAAACCCCGCCCGGAGCAAGACCAAAUAGGGGAGCGCGCGGUUCAGCUUCGGCUGGAUCGCAUGUGUGGCCCACACAGACUCCCGGGUAGGUCGCUGGAGGUACGCGGUGACGCGUAUCGCAGAUGAAUGGUUGUCCUCGACAGAACCCGGCUUAUCGGCCGACUCCUUUU